This is a non-coding RNA of Canis lupus familiaris (dog), 121 nucleotides long. The record is from Rfam. Lineage: Eukaryota; Metazoa; Chordata; Mammalia; Carnivora; Canidae.
UCUAUGGCAAAUACCACCCUGAAUGCACCGGAUCUCAUCCGAUCUUGGAAGCUAAGUAGGGUCGAGCUGGUUAGUACUUGGAUGGGAGUCCUGUCCUGGAUUUAUCUUUGUUGUCUUUCUC